CUUAAUUUUAUAGCAUCCAAACAUAUUUUUCCUCCAAAAUUUCAAAAAGUCAUUCUUUGUCCAUAAAUUUUCUAUUAACACUUGGCUCAUUUUUGCUCAAAUUGCUUCAAUUUUGUGGAGAUCUUCGAAUUAAAGGUAAACAUUCUGAUUUCUUAUGGUUUAAACAUUUAAAGUGUAAUUCAAUUCAUGUUUUCAUAGAUCUAAGCAAGAAAUCAUAGGAUCUAUGGUUUUGAAGCUUGAUUUUGCAUAAAAAUGGUGAAUCUCGUAAUAGAGGGCUAAGUGAUGGUUUUAAAAUGAUUUUCAACUUAUUUUGACAUGAUUAAAAGAUUUAUAAAUUUAAUUUAAUGAAUCCCUAAAGAAAUUACAUGAAUCAAAUGUUGAUUUGUGAUUUCAAAAUGAAUCAAAUGGUUUUAAAAUGAUUUUCAACUUAUUUUUCUUCUUGAGAUUAAAAGCGAACGUGAUUUCAAAAAAAUGUUGAUUUGUGAAAUUGAGUAAAAUUAAUGGUUUAAAUCUGUAAUUAAGCAUUAGAUCUGAUGUUAGGAAGUGAAAAUAGAGGAUUUACUUGAGUUUAAUUGAAGUAAUUAGAGGAUUUAAAGUAACACGAGUUGAGCUCGCUAGAUUUAGGAGAGUGAUGAGCUGCUAUGUUGUUAGGUGGAUAAUUUGUCUGUUUAAGAAUGAAAAUAGUUUGUAUUUAUAUUGUGUUAUGCGAAGCCUCUGAGCAUGAAGAAGUUGCCACUUUCACACCCUAUACCCGGUCUAGUCGUCGGACCCGAUUAUAAGAUGCUACAACAGUAAACCAAAACAUUCACAAGCAGUUUAUUCAAUAUUACUCAAUAAUCAAUAAAUGUAAGUUAACUCCUUGUUAAACAUAUAUUACAAUCAAAUUCAAGUCUUAGUUGGCUUAUGAAAACCUUUGAACAAGUUCAAAACUAAAUCGGGACCAAUCUGAAACAUUUACAAUAUAACAGGUAAAAUGCAAAAUAGGGGUCACACGAUUGUGUGACAGCACAGAGACCGUGUAGUGUAGGGAGACGGUCGUGUGGCCAAAUCGUGUGACAGAACUCAAACCGUGUGGAAGGAGACACACGAUCGUGUCUCCAAACUGUGUAACCGACUGAUGCCAUGUGGACCUAAAAUUUCAAAGUUUAAAUCGAGCACACAACUGUGUUACCAACCGUGUGGGGCACACAGCUAUGUGGCAAACCGUGUCACAAGCCGUGUGUAUCCAAAGCACCUUUAAACACAAGCAAUGUCAUCCAUCUUUUCUUAAAAAUCAAGCUAUACCAUUUGCAUUUAUUUAUACCAAGUCAAAACUCACUAAAACAUGUCAAAACAUGUUCAUUGAACAUUCAAUCUAAACCUAACCAAUAUGUCCUUAAUGGCAUCACAAUAUAAUCAUGAAACAACAACCAUCCAAAACAUUAACAUUCAUGCCAAGAUUUUUCAUGCCUACACAUACUUAUACAAUUAUCAUUGCUUUAACUAAGAUAUCAAUAAGCAAAGUUCAAUAAGUGACAUAAAACAUAAAAAAUCUAUUUUCACAAUUUAUGUAUACCUUAUUAAAUUAUGCCAUUAACCAUUUUAUACCAUUCAAGCCAUUUACUCCAAACAUCAACAAUUACCAACAUUUAAUAUCAACUCAUGCUAUUACCUAAACUUACACAUAAUCCCAUUCAAAUAUUGGCUAACAUUAUCAACUUACUAAAUGUCAAUUAGGUACCAAGCACUUAAUACAUCAAGGUUAGUUAUAAUCUUAUUCAUAACCAAAGUACUAAAACAUGGUCGUUAAUUUGCAAAGUAGACACCCUAUAUACAUGCCACAAGUAAUCAUACUUUCAAACUUACAAAACUACCGAGUUAGAAGAUAGUAGGUGUGAGCUUCUGCUAAUCAAAUCGACAUGUUACGAGUAUUCAAAAUCUACAGAAUAAUAAUAACAGAAGUAAUCAUAUAAAAUACUUAGUAAGCUCAUACAAUUCAAUUCAAUAACUUACCUUACUCAUUUAAUAGUUAAUUGCAAAUAGCUAUUCAAAAUAUUAUCCCUAUCACGACAUAGUUCAAAAAAUUUCGGGUCAAUAAAUAACGAACAUACAUGUAUUCAAAGAUCAUAUUUCGUCCACAUUAAUGAUACAAUUUCACACUGUAUAUCCUUUGAUUUUCCAAUGGAAUUUUGUAAAAGUAACUCAGUACACGAGUGCGGCUAACAUAAGAUGCUCGUCCGAGCUAGUCAUAUACAGAAACAUAAGUGUCAGGUUACCCGUCCAGGCUAAACCAGUGACCACAGAAAAAUAGCCUAACCAAGGCUAUAAAUAAAUGUAAGGUUACCAGUCCAGGCUAAACCUUUAAAGUGACAACAGAUUACCAUUCCAAGCUAAAUUUGUGUCAAAUGUAUAUCCAACUUCGCAACAAAUACUGGAGCUCGGUCUAGUCGGGAAUCAAUCUAAAACCUCGUAUAUGAGACUUUUACUCGGUCCAUCGCAAUUAUCUCAGAAUUCAAUUAAUUACCAAAUAGUCUGAAUCCAAUUUCAGUAGUUUCUAUAUGUAUAUAAUUAACAAAAAUUAAUAAAAAAUUAUAAUCAUAGAAGUAGUAUGAACUUACCUGACAAAACCGUAGCAGUUUAGCUAUCAGGGACUAUUCGGCAGUUUUCAUAUUUUUGCCUAAGUCAACAACUUGAUCUAUAUAAUAGUUAAGAUUCAAAAUAUAAAUAUCAAUCUCAUAAUAACACUCAAAUUCAUGCUUACAAUCUUUUAAUUUCAUUUUACAUAAUUUCCCUAAACUUUUAUAUUUUAUUCAAUUUAGUCCCUAAAAUAAAACUUAUCAUAACUUCCUAAUUUGGACUUCAAACUUUAAAUUAACUUCAAAUAAAUUCAAUUACAUUCAAAUAUUAUAAAAUUUUUUAGAAAUUACAUAUCAAUUUUAGGAUAUUAAUAAUUUAGUCCUUAUGUUCAAAAUUAAUAAAAAUCACAUUAUAAAUUAGUCCUUAAACAUUUCAUAGCUUCCAAAUCUACAAUUUCAUGUCAAAAACAUCUAAGAUUCAUCAAUGACAAGUUUUAAAAUCUUUAACAAUUUCAAAAUCAGAGAUACGUAUUAGUUGGACCUAGUUGCAACGAUAUCAAAAACAUUAAAAUUACAAGAAACAUGAUUGAUUUGCUUACCAAAAAAGAGGGUCGAAUGUUACUUGAAGUUUUUCAAUGGCUUCUCAAUUUUUCUUUCCUUCCAAACGGUGGAGAAUUAGCAAAUAGAAGAUGACAACUUUACUUUUAUGUGCUAUUCCUGUAUUUAAUAUAAUUAUAUAAAUAUUAAAAUUCAUUUCUUUAACUUAAUCCAUCAAACCGACCACUCAUAAUAAAAAUUGUCUUGUUUCCAUGUAGAACCUCAAUCUAAUAAUAUUUAACCUUUUUAUCAAAUAAAAAUCAAUAGCGAAAGAGUUUUACAAUUUUUACGAUUUAGUCCUUUUUACUUAAUUAACUAUCAAAUCGUUAAAAUUUUCGAACCAAGAUUCAAUAUACCUAUAUAUUAAGUCCAUAAAUAUUUAAAAUAUUUACGGGCUAGGUUUACAGAAACAAGGUCCCAAAACCUCAUUUCCAAAACAACUUGACUUUUGGAACAACCCACUUGUACUUAACUAAUUAUCCAAUUAAAUAAAAAUUAUCAAAUAAAAUUCACUAUACCAUAAUACUUGACUCGUAAAUAUUAAAUAAUAAUAUUUGUAUACUCACUUAUAGGAAUUGUGGACCCGAAACCAUUGUUUCUGACACCACUAAAAAAUGGGUUGUUACAGACACAUCAUGCAAUGACAAAGGCAAUCAGAAGGUGGUGUAGGUUCGGUAGUAUCAAUGAUUCAAUGGGUCAGUGUUCUUGUUUAACUCACUUAAAUACCAAUUCGCAUGCUCAAGGAAGUCCAGGUAAGGCAUGCGAACCCUAUUAUAUUUUCACUUGAACGUUGUUAAGUUUAUGUGAGCCUUGAAUUGUGAUUUGUGAACCUUUUAUAGUGUGUGCGAGCUAUAUAUGUGUCAUGCGAGCUCGUGAUAUGUGAACUCUAAAUAUGUGAACCUUAUCGCUUUCAAGUAUGUGAGCCUAUAUGUGAGAGCUUAUAUAAGUAUGCGAGCCAUAAACAUGUGUGAACCCAGAUGUUGCAUGCAAGCCCUAAUUAUAUGCGAGCCUUAAAUGUAUGCGAGUAUUAUAUUAUGUCAUGUGAACCCUACUGAUGUAUGUGAACCUGUGCAUGUACGAACCUAUUGACGUAUGUGAGCCUAUACCAUAACGCGAACCUGAUGUUAUUGAGAACCUAUAUGUAUAUUGUGAGCCUAUAGAAAUGCGAGCUCUGCUAAAUGUGAACUGUACUAUUAUGCAUACUGUUAUGUGUAAGCUCUGCAGUAUUACGAGCCCUACUAUAUUUGUGCAUUGUGAAUGUGAUAAAAAUGAUAUGUUGGCAUUGUGAUCAUUUAAAAUUGUUGGAUAACAUCGGCAUGCCACAGGAUUGUGAGUACUCGCAUUUUUUACGAUGUGUUAAGACAUUGUGGCUCGGUGAUAGCAUCAGAGAGAUUAAUCAACCAUAGCUCCAUUCAUCGUAAAUAGCGUGGAUUAUUUUGGAGAGUAUGAGCACUCGUGCUAAACUUAUCAGAGAUAGCGUACGACUUUUUGAGGCAUUUGGAGUGGUUUGGAGAUCCACUUAUCCAAUGUGUAUAUAAGAUGAUUAUGUUUCACAUCCACUAUUUGUCAAUAUAUCACUAUGAUAUGCAUGACAUUGUAUUAUACAUGAGAUAUUAUAGCAUGUUUAUUUUCUAGCAUGAAUGAUGUGUUAGCAUUCACUGAGCUUCAAUAAGCUCAUACUCCUUGCAUAUACCUUGCUGAUAGGUAGCUUGCAAGAUUAGUGGUGAAGCGUGGUAGUCUAGUGGUCCAACACAAGGCAAAUCCCUUUAAGUAUGUGAUUGUGUUUCAAACCCUAAAUUAGAAGGUAAUGUGGGACUGUCCUAAGGGGUUACAAUUAGACUUUGACUUUUAAAUAAAUGUUGAUGGGUUGUAAACGAACAUUACCAACUGUUUAGUUUUGGAUUUUGGAAUUUAUAAUUUCUUGGUUGAAUGUGUGAUUGAUUGAAUUUUAUAUAUGUUGGUUGUUAUCAAAUUGAAGAGCUAAAAAGUUUUUGUAGGUUAAGGAACUCAUUGGUUCUUAAGGUACGCCCUUACCUUUUAUGUAUGAUGAAGCAAAUUAAUGGCUUAGUAUGCAUAAGAUAAAGAUAAUAACUUGUGAAUAAAUACCAGCAAGCCAACUAAACAUAGGGCAAGCUAGGGGUUGCAGGAUGAUAGGACAAUGCCAUAGCCCCGAUUUUGAGAGUUCGCUAGAGAUAAUACUGGCCAAGUGAGGGGUUCACCAAGAAAAAACCACAAGCUUACCAAAGCUAGUGUCCGCCAAAAUAUCGUCUUCAAACCAUAGAGAGUCGACCAUGUAGGUUGGUUCACCAGUGCAGAUUAGUUCGCCAAGGUAAAUAGGUUUGCCAAUGUGAGCAUGUACACUUAGAUAGAGAGUUUGCCUUGUUAAUUAGGUUCGACAAAUAAAUGAGUGUCGCGAGUGUGUUAUCCACCUAGGCAGUGUGUAGUUAUUAAGGGAGACACGUGUGUCAUAGGAUAGGAUACGAACCAGGGGGUUCGCAGCGCCAAUUGCGAGUUAGGUGUUGCGGGCAAGUUACGAGUUGUGCUUGCCAAGUGACACACGAGCUGCUAGGGUUUUGAAUAGGUCCGUCGUGAGGUGGGUUCACAAGUGACUUCAAACUUGAAAUUUUGUGCUUGUUUUUUAUGAUGUGUUUACAAAAGCAUGCAAAUAAGAUUAUUUUUAAUAUAAUUUAUGUUGCAAACGUAUGGUGUUGAUGCAUGCACGGAUGGGUGAAAUUUAUUAAAUUUCAUUCAUCGAAGCUGCCAAUUUUCAAGUUUGGAAUGGGAUCUAGGAAUUUCUACGUUGAGAUGUCUUAUGGUGUUCGAAGAUCUAUCUUUUAACUUCGAAAUGCACUUUUAAUCACUCAAUUUCGAGUUCAGGAGUUUAAGUUAUGACAGUUUUAGUGAAGACUGCGCAAGCAAAAUUUUAGGACAGGAUUAUUACAGAAAUUACAAGUUUCGGGCUUUUAAUUCAAGUUUAAUUCAUCUUGGGUUUGAUUUUUAGGCUUAAUUUUUAUUAUAUAUUAUUAUAUUAUUAUUUAUUAUUCCAAAUUUUGGAUUUUUAAGUAUUUUAAGUUGUUUAGGAGUUUUUGUUUCUUAGUCAAACAAGAAAGAUUAGUUUAAAACUACUUGUUUAGAUUAAUUAGAGUUUCAGUAUACUUUAAAGUUUUAUUUGGAUGUAUGUAGCUAGCUUAUAUAAAGACCUUUUCAUUGUUCAUUAAGCAAAUAAUUGUUUUUAUUAAUAAAUUUUUCAUCUCUAGGAGUUAGUUUCUUUGUGCAAAAAACAAAACAAAAUUGUUUUCAUUAAUAAAGUUUUCAACUCUGAAAGUUUGUUUCUUUGUGCAAGAAUUCUUUCUUGUGAUUUUUAGAAGUAGUUUUCUUCUUGAUUUUCUUUAAGGAGUCGUGAGAAUUCAUUCUUCAUCUUUCAAUUUGCAAAGAUUAUUUCUUAGAGGGUUGAUUACAGCCAUUAAUUGAGUUUGUUGGAUUUAUAUCUCAAAGGGUUCAAUUGGACAUUUAUCCUUUUAUCCAUCGAUUUAUCGUUCCAUCUUCCACUUUACUUUAAUCUAUAUUUUCUCUAUAUAUUUCUUAUUUGGAAUAUUUAUCCUUUAUUUUUUUUAUUUUUCUUAUUUUUCUUAUUUCCUUUGUUAUUUUCAAAAUUUAUUUUGGUUUCUUCCUUUCAUGUCACACCUAAAUUUAUUUUCUAAAUUCGAUCAUUCUUCCGCUUCCUCUGCCUCACUGACCUCAAAAUAAAAUUUUUCUUUUACCCAGAUAGUAUUUUGGAAAAAAAAUAUUUUUCAGUGGGUAAACAUUUUCCAAACGAUCUGAAAUUUUACAUAUUGAUUCUUGGCACUCUCUUAGAAUAUAAAAAAAAAGAUUUCCCACAAAAAAUAGUGAUCGAAAAAGUGAAAAAAUAAAAAAAUACGAAAAAGAAAGAAAAAAUAUUCUAUGGGUUGAAUUUUGUGCCGAAAUUUUCUAGAUUAGAUCUACACUAUUUGAGGAGACUUCGAUUUAAAUUUCGUGAUUUUUGGAAAUCAGGAACACCUCAAAUGAAAAAAUUUCCAAUUAUUUUCUAUUUUUUCGAGUUUUUGGUUGAGUAUUUUAUUUUUUUAUUCUAGAAUUAGGGUUUCUUUUGUUUUAGCUUUUCUUAUUCUAUUAUGUAUUCUAACACAUUUUCGUUUCUUGUGUUAAUAGGUACGAAAAGAGUUGCUUCUCCUUUCUCUGCGCAACUUACUUCCUUCAAAGUCGAGUUUUGCUUUGGCUUCUUUGAGCCUUAG
Molecule: long non-coding RNA, 7423 nt
Filed under: Gossypium barbadense (sea-island cotton)
Lineage: Eukaryota; Viridiplantae; Streptophyta; Magnoliopsida; Malvales; Malvaceae
Description: long non-coding RNA (GBAR_LNC019052)
Source: RNAcentral